UACGUAGGGACCGAGCGUUGUCCGGAUUCAUUGGGCGUAAAGAGCUCGUAGGCGGCCACUCAAGUCGAAUGUGAAACCUCGAGGCUUAACCUCGAGCCUGCAUUCGAUACUGGGCGGCUAGAGUCCGGUAGGGGAGCGUGGAAUUCCUGGUGUAGCGGUGAAAUGCGCAGAUAUCAGGAGGAACACCAGCGGCGAAGGCGGCGCUCUGGGCCGGUACUGGCGCUGAGGAGCGAAAGCGUGGGGAGCAAACAGG
RNAcentral lists this ribosomal RNA (253 nucleotides) under uncultured bacterium. RNAcentral's name for it is "partial 16S ribosomal RNA". It matches the Rfam family "Bacterial small subunit ribosomal RNA", at positions 524 to 776 of the family's 1533-position model. The record is from RNAcentral.